AAAAUCAUGUGUUGAUUCCCAAAUGUUGCAUAUUUAAUGGGAUGGAGGGAGUAUAUAGUACAAGUUUUUAAUAAAAUAUGUGUGAAUUGAGUUAGUGAUAUUUGGGACCCUAAUUCCAUUUAAUUUUAGAAAAAAUAAACUGGGACCUAUUUGCAUACGAAGGUAAUAGUUCCAUAUAUGAACAACACGAAUUUUAAUCGUAAUAAAUAGGUAAAGUAAAAGAUAAGGGGAAAAAUGGGUAGAGUAAAAGAAAGAAGUGGAUGAAAUAUGAAAGAAAGUUUAUAUUUUCAAAAUGAGACUAUUUUUCAUAGACCGGACGAACGACUAAUUUAAUUUUUUUUAAAUCUAAAACACUAGCUUCAAUUUGAAUUAUGCCACGUGUUUUGUUGAUAACCAUAUGAAUACUCCCUUCGUCCCCAAAGAAUAUGCACUUUGGGUUCGACACGAGUUUUAAUGCAAAAUCGCUAAAGUCAGAGAGAGGUGGUGAGAAAAAGUAAUUAAAGAUUUAUUAGUGGGGAAUGAGUCUCAUCUCAUUAGAGAUGAAAGAGUUUCCAAAAUUGGAAAGUGCAUAUACUUGUGGAACGGACUAAAAAAGAAAGAACACAUAUUUUUGUGGGACGAAGGGAGUAGUUAUUGGUUAAUUAGGGGGAAUUAAGUGAUCCUACUCUUAUAGUAGUACUCAUUCCGUCCAUUAAUAUAAGGCCAAUUUAGAUCUUGCAAGAAUUUAAAAAAAUAUCCUACUAAGAAAGUGAGUGGUAAAUAGGUCCUACUUUCAUUAAUAUAAGGCCAAUUUAGAUCUUGCACGAAUUUAAAAAAAUAUGCUAGUAAGAAAGUGAGUGGUAAAUGGGUCUACUUUUAUAUAUUAGUUUUAUAGUGAAAUGUGAGUGAAAUAAAGUUAAUGUAAUAUGAGAUCUAUUACUAAAAAUAGUAAAUAAACAAAUGAGCCAUGUAUUGGUGGACUGAAAAAAUGGCAAAAUGAGAUGUUUAUAGUAUUUAUUUCGAGGAGCAAGAAUCUUCCGUCACACAUAGAAGAUAAAUAUACAGUAUACUCUAAACAUUGUUCUUUAGGGCCUGUUCAGUGGGUUUGAUAUGGGAUGAUCAGAAUUAAACGAUGCAUAGAUUUCGGUGGAUGAAGCCCACAUAUAACACCCCCAAUUCCAGCAUCCAGUGAUGCAGAUUUCCACAUUGUUUUAAUUGUGAUUUUUAUAUUUAUAAGGUGAUUUUACAUAACUGCCCCAAUGAAUUAAUAAAUACUAUAUCUUCAAGCGCGAAUUGUGAAAUUGGAAUCGCGACAAAUAUUUUUGCUUUCAAUAAAUAGAGCUGGUUAACAAAAAAAAGGGCAAAUCCUACGAGCAAACUUCAACCCUCAUCAAGCAAAACUGCAAUCGAAUCUACUUCUCCCACAAGAUAUGAACUUGCUUCGGUUCUCGUUUGUGCCUAAUUUUACGCCGGCGAUUUCUUAUGUCGUAAGUCGAAACAAUAGUCGUGAAUAUUUAGUGAUUGAUUGUAUGAAUUGAGGUUUGUUAAGGUCGAAGUGGGCAGAAUUUUGCAUUGUAAACCGCUUUGAUCAAUUUCUCAUUCCGUUUUGUGAAAUUGCAUUUGUUGUGGUAUAUUUUGGACUGUGAUGUUACUGGGUUCUAUUUUUAUAUGAAACAGAAUUAAUUGUUUUAUGGUUGUCGUGCCGUGCCCUGAUGUGGAUAAUAGUUGGCCGAUUUGUUGUAGGUAAUGUCAGUGGUACUAAACGACCAAUGGGGAGCCACAACUCUAGUUUAGUCAGUGAAGAAAAAUGCUUGUGACCUUUGUUGCUACUGCAUUGGUGAGUCCCCCAGACAAAAGUACCGAAAGGAAGAGCGUUCGAGAAGAAUAUGGAUUCGGGGGGGGAGGAGAUCCUCGCAGCUACGCUGCUCGAACUUGUUGCCAGGGGCUGGAAAUCAGAUAAUUAUUUCCGCGCUGGGUACUUGACUAAAAUCGAGGAUAACAUCCGGACUGAAUUUCCCGAUUCCGACUUGAAAGGCACUCCACAUAUAACAUCGAAAAUAUCGGCGUGGAAGAAGACAUACUCAAAGGAAUUUUGGGAAGAAGUGGUGUCGGCUUCAAUACCCAUGGCAAAUACAAAAUUGAUUGCGAUGACGAUCAAUGGGAGCAAAUUGUACAUGUAAUGAUCCUCUUCUGUGAAGGUUGUGUUGUGUUGUUGCAGACAGGCAAGGAUGCCAAAUUAAUGCGUACAAAAUCGUGGCCCGUUUGGGAGACUUAGAAAAGCAUUUUCGGCAAGGACCGUGCCUCCGGUGGUGGGCCCGAGCAAGUAGAUGUUGCGACUGAACAUUUAAAAGCCAAACUAGCCUGUGGUAGCUAGGUAAAUGAGAACGAUUAUCGUCCUCCGUAUAAGAAUGGUACUUCGGUGCAUGCUAGUGAACCAUACGUCCAGCCCUUUGACCUCAACGACGACAGCUCCAGAAAUGGUAGAAAGUAAGCUUCAACUACCAAACCAAGUUCUCACAAAGGGAAACAAUAUUGCCCUGGCACUGUUACGAUGGAGUUCCUUUCUAACCUUCAUGCUGAAACCAACAAUCGUUUGGAGAUGAUUUCUGCACACAUUAGCUACGAGUUUGAUCUAGGAAAGGCGGGGCAGAAGGUCUUCGAUAAGCUGGGCGAUGUAGAGGGGCUAACACUGAAACAGAGGUAUAAGUUAUGUAACAUCUUGGGUGAUAAACCCCAACGACUUGAGGUGUUCAUUGGUAUGCCGGCUAAUGCUCGACUAGGGUACCUGUUGAUGUUGACCGAAGACAACCGCUAGUUUGUUCGUAUUGGUGACAUUUUGUUAUGACUUUAGUAAUAUGUAUUUUCCCUGAUCUGUAUUAAUCGGACUUUAGGGUGAUUAUGCCAUUAGGCAUGAACUAUGUAUUAAUCUACUUUGUGGCACCCAUGUGCAUCAUUCUAAGGUUAUGUAAAUCUGCUA
This is a long non-coding RNA of Salvia splendens (bonfire salvia), 2956 nucleotides long. RefSeq lists it as uncharacterized. The record is from RefSeq and is a predicted model, not a curated record. NCBI's taxonomy places the organism in Eukaryota, Viridiplantae, Streptophyta, Magnoliopsida, Lamiales, Lamiaceae. The transcript is spliced from 2 exons.